This 223-nucleotide long non-coding RNA is filed under the name Vitis vinifera (wine grape). RNAcentral's name for it is "long non-coding RNA (VVIN_LNC005418)". Lineage: Eukaryota; Viridiplantae; Streptophyta; Magnoliopsida; Vitales; Vitaceae. The record is from RNAcentral.
AAAGCCCUUGUGGCCAUCAAAUGAGUGGAAGAUUCAGCAAGAGCCACUAUUUAGUUCUGAUUCAAUUUAGACAACAAGUGGACGAUCUCCAAAUAAAAACUUGCUACCCCAAUUUUUCAUUAAGAAAAUUAAUAUCGAUACAAAUAGAUAAGGAUGCCAUGUGAGCAAAAUCUGUAAUUGGAGGGGUAUUCUACCGAGAAAUUGACAAUAAGUUUUAGUUGGG